Molecule: long non-coding RNA, 523 nt
Organism: Nomascus leucogenys (northern white-cheeked gibbon)
Lineage: Eukaryota; Metazoa; Chordata; Mammalia; Primates; Hylobatidae
Exons: 5
Source: RefSeq, a predicted model, not a curated record
CCAGCCCCCAAGAGGCUGAACGACCAUCUGCCAGAGAUUUUGGAGAGAGGGCUCUUUCUCUGGCAGAGAGAAAUUUGACUUCAAGAAAGGAAAUUGUCUCCAAGGAAGAACAAAAAGAAACCAGGGCCUCUCCAAAGGCUAUCACGAGUCUAGAUUGCUAACCCUUAUUAGCAAGCAAGAGACCAGAUUCUCUAGAACAAAGAAGUAUAAGAUACUUAAGCUCCAAGACUAUCAGGUGCUUCUGAGAUUCCUGAGGAAGUAGUUGAUGAUGAAGAGUUUGAUUGGGAAUUUGAGCAGACACCCUAUGAAGCGGUAUCAGAAAGUGCUUUGAAUCCGCCGUGCCACUAUGGAUUUGGAAACUUACGAUCAGGGGUAUUUCAGCAGUUACAGUUUGGACAGUCACGUACACCCAUGUAAUUAUCACUGAAAGAAGAUUCAAAAUAUUUCCAUCACCCCAGAAAAUAUACUCACACCAUACCACUUUCCAUGUAAUACUCCACACCUGGAGCAGCAGCCCCUUUAC